GUCGAGAAUCUUUCACAAUGGGGGCAACCCUGAUGGAGCGACGCCGCGUGGAGGAUAAGGUCUUCGGAUUGUAAACUCCUGUCAUGCGUAAACAAGGUUGCUUGGUUAAUACCUGGGCAAAUUGAUGGUAACGCAAGAGGAAGAGACGGCUAACUCUGUGCCAGCAGCCGCGGUAAUACAGAGGUCUCAAGCGUUGUUCGGAAUCACUGGGCGUAAAGGGUGCGUAGGUGGCGUGGUAAGUCAGAUGUGAAAGCCCGGGGCUCAACCUCGGAACUGCAUCCGAUACUGCCAUGCUAGAGUACUGGAGAGGUGACUAGAAUUCUCGGUGUAGCAGUGAAAUGCGUAGAUAUCGAGAGGAAUACCAAAGGCGUAGGCAGGUCACUGGACAGUUACUGACACUGAGGCACGAAGGCCAGGGGAGCGAACGGGAUUAGAAACCCGAGUAGUCC
This 449-nucleotide ribosomal RNA is filed under the name uncultured bacterium. RNAcentral's name for it is "partial 16S ribosomal RNA". It matches the Rfam family "Bacterial small subunit ribosomal RNA", at positions 354 to 796 of the family's 1533-position model. The record is from RNAcentral.